Molecule: transfer RNA, 87 nt
Filed under: Flavobacteriaceae bacterium UJ101
Lineage: Bacteria; Pseudomonadati; Bacteroidota; Flavobacteriia; Flavobacteriales; Flavobacteriaceae
Description: tRNA-Ser
Rfam family: tRNA
About the family: Transfer RNA (tRNA) molecules are approximately 80 nucleotides in length. Their secondary structure includes four short double-helical elements and three loops (D, anti-codon, and T loops).
Source: RNAcentral
GGAGAGGUGGCAGAGUGGUAAUGCAGCAGAUUGCUAAUCUGUCAACGGGAAACCGUUGCCGGGGUUCGAGUCCCCGUCUCUCCGCAA